AUGGCGGCAGCUGUCCACGACUCUCGUCAUAUAGGACGACACAGAACCAAAAGGGUCAGCAAGUCUAGUCUGAGACAGAUAAUCCCCUCCAUCCCUCAGCCUUGCGGCCGGAACGGGAAGAUCGUGAGGAUUGGGACCAAGGUCUCCCUGUCCCCAAGCAGAACUGAAGACCAUGGGCACCUGUGCAGCUGGGCUGAGGAGCUCUGCACAGGGGAGGAAGUCACACAGCACCACAUUGAAGAUGUGGGCUCAGAUGAGGAGGAUGAUAGUGGGAAGGGCAAGAAAAGGGAAACAAAGAAGAUUAAGGGGAAAUGCAUAGAUCAGGAAGAACUGAACAAGACCAAGCCCAUUUGGACCAGAAACCCUGAUGACAUUACCCAGGAGGAAUAUGGAGAGUUUUACAAGAGUCUUACUAAUGACUGGGAAGACCACUUGGCAGUCAAGCAUUUCUCUGUAGAAGGUCAGCUGGAAUUCAGGGCAUUGCUGUUUAUCCCCCGUCGGGCUCCUUUUGACCUCUUUGAGAACAAGAAGAAAAAGAACAGCAUCAAACUCUAUGUUCGCCGUGUGUUCAUCAUGGACAGCUGUGAUGAAUCGAUACCAGAGUAUCUCAACUUCAUCCGCGGUGUGGUUGACUCCGAGGACCUGCCCUUGAAUAUCUCCCGAGAAAUGCUCCAGCAGAGCAAAAUCUUGAAGGUCAUUCGCAAAAAUAUGGUGAAGAAGUGCCUUGAGCUCUUCUCUGAACUGGCAGAAGACAAGGAGAACUAUAAGAAAUUCUCUGAGGCGUUCUCUAAAAACCUAAAGCUUGGAAUCCCUGAGGACUCUACUAACCGGCGCCACCUUUCUGAGCUGCUGCGUUACCACACCUCCCAGUCUGGGGAUGAGAUGACUUCUCUUUCAGAAUAUGUGUCCCGCAUGAAAGAGACCCAGAAGUCCAUCUAUUACAUCACCGGUGAGAGCAAAGAGCAGGUUGCCAACUCCGCUUUUGUGGAGCGAGCGUGGAAGCGGGGCUUCGAGGUAGUGUAUAUGACAGAGCCUAUCAACGAGUGCUGCGUGCCGCAGCUCGAGGAGUUAGACGGGAAGAGUCUGGUCUCCAUUACCAAGGAGGGCCUGGAGCUGCCUGAGGAUGAAGAGGAGAAGAAGAAAAUGGAGGAGAGCAAGGCCAAGUUCGAGAACCUCUGCGAACUCAUGAAAGAAAUCUUGGAUAAGAAGGUUGAGAAGGUGACAAUCUCCAACAGGCUAGUGUCUUCACCCUGCUGCAUUGUGACUAGCACCUAUGGCUGGACGGCCAACAUGGAGCGGAUCAUGAAAGCCCAGGCCCUUCGGGACAACUCUAAGAUGGGCUAUAUGAUGGCCAAGAAGCACCUGCAAGAUCAACCCUGACCACCCCAUCGUGGAAACGCUGCGGUAGGAGGCCGAGGCAGACAAGAACGACAAGGCGGUCAAGGACCUGGUGGUGCUGCUGUUUGAAACAGCUCCGCUCUCCUCCGGCUUCUCACUCGAGGAUCCCCAGACUCACUCCAACCACAUCUACUGCAUGAUCAAGCUAGGCCUGGGCAUUGAUGAAGAUGAAGUGACCGCAGAGGAGCCCAGUGCUGCUGUUCCUGAUGAGAUCCCCCCGCCCCUUGAGGGUGAUGAGGAUGCCUCUCGCAUGGAAGAAGUAGAUUAG
Odobenus rosmarus divergens (Pacific walrus) is the source of this 1666-nucleotide RNA transcript. It is a transcript of the gene named heat shock cognate protein HSP 90-beta-like, with no coding region annotated. NCBI's taxonomy places the organism in Eukaryota, Metazoa, Chordata, Mammalia, Carnivora, Odobenidae. The transcript has 3 exons. The record is from RefSeq and is a predicted model, not a curated record.